Tupaia belangeri chinensis (Chinese tree shrew) is the source of this 399-nucleotide long non-coding RNA. RefSeq lists it as uncharacterized. NCBI's taxonomy places the organism in Eukaryota, Metazoa, Chordata, Mammalia, Scandentia, Tupaiidae. The record is from RefSeq and is a predicted model, not a curated record. The transcript is spliced from 3 exons.
UAUUAAGUCACUUCUUCUAAACUCUGCUGGUGCACAUUUAAUUUUACAGCUCCAGAACAGGACUUCACAGUUACACCUGAGUCUCAAUAAAUUCAAAGUCUAGAAAAGCCAGGUAAGGCAAAUCUGGCCCUUCCUUCUUUGCUACUCUGACUUCAAACCUGCAACUAGACUGUGGUUUCUCUUCACUGCGUCCCAAAGUCUACUGCCUCCUCUUCCUACUGCUGUCCUAUAUGGACACUUUUCUUUUCCGACUACCUUCAAGUCAUCCUCUUUGGUGUCCUGCAGUACCAAAGAAUUUGUCCAAGUUUCAGUGGCUUAGAUUGACUUCCAGAUCAUUCAUGAUUGGAUUACUGUUCCAAAGAAGGGAAGGCAGUUUAACAGCUCAGCUCUGAGUUUCAA